AAAGAUUUUAUUUUUGGAUUUCUGUGUCCAACUUUGACCGUUCGUCUUAUUAAAAAAAUUUAUGAAUAAAUUUAAAAAUAUUCAUGCAUGAAGUACUAUUCAUGUGUUACCAUCUAAUAACAAUAAAAAUAUUAAUUAUAUGUUUUUUAAAUAAGACGGAUGGUUAAAGUUGGACACGGAAAUCUUAGA
MicroRNA precursor from Leersia perrieri, 189 nucleotides. It matches the Rfam family "MIR812 microRNA precursor family". Lineage: Eukaryota; Viridiplantae; Streptophyta; Magnoliopsida; Poales; Poaceae. The record is from Rfam.